UACGAAGGGGGCUAGCGUUGCUCGGAAUCACUGGGCGUAAAGGGUGCGUAGGCGGGGCUUUAAGUCAGGGGUGAAAUCCUGGAGCUCAACUCCAGAACUGCCUUUGAUACUGAGGAUCUUGAGUUCGGGAGAGGUGAGUGGAGCUGCGAGUGUAGAGGUGAAAUUCGUAGAUAUUCGCAAGAACACCAGUGGCGAAGGCGGCUCACUGGCCCGAUACUGACGCUGAGGCACGAAAGCGUGGGGAGCAAACAGG
This 253-nucleotide ribosomal RNA is filed under the name uncultured bacterium. RNAcentral describes it as "partial 16S ribosomal RNA". It matches the Rfam family "Bacterial small subunit ribosomal RNA", at positions 524 to 776 of the family's 1533-position model. The record is from RNAcentral.